GAUGAACGCUAGCUACAGGCUUAACACAUGCAAGUCGCGGGGCAGCAUGUCGGUUGCUUGCAACCGAUGAUGGCGACCGGCGCACGGGUGAGUAACGCGUAUCCAACCUGCCCUUCACCACGGAAUAAUCCAGUGAAAAUUGGUCUAAUACCGUAUGAGGUCAUACGAUGGCAUCAGAAUAUGACGAAAGGUUUGGCGGUGAAGGAUGGGGAUGCGUCUGAUUAGCUUGUUGGUGAGGUAACGGCUCACCAAGGCGACGAUCAGUAGGGGUUCUGAGAGGAAGGUCCCCCACAUUGGAACUGAGACACGGUCCAAACUCCUACGGGAGGCAGCAGUGAGGAAUAUUGGUCAAUGGGCGAGAGCCUGAACCAGCCAAGUAGCGUGCAGGAAGACGACCCUAUGGGUUGUAAACUGCUUUUAUAUGGGGAUAAAGUGAGCUACGUGUAGUUUAUUGCAGGUACCAUAUGAAUAAGGACCGGCUAAUUCCGUGCCAGCAGCCGCCGCCG
RNAcentral lists this ribosomal RNA (506 nucleotides) under uncultured bacterium. RNAcentral describes it as "partial 16S ribosomal RNA". It matches the Rfam family "Bacterial small subunit ribosomal RNA", at positions 28 to 523 of the family's 1533-position model. The record is from RNAcentral.